This 255-nucleotide ribosomal RNA is filed under the name uncultured bacterium. RNAcentral describes it as "partial 16S ribosomal RNA". It matches the Rfam family "Bacterial small subunit ribosomal RNA", at positions 524 to 776 of the family's 1533-position model. The record is from RNAcentral.
UACAGAGGGUGCGAGCGUUGUUCGGAAUUACUGGGCGUAAAGCGCGCGCAGGCGGCCUUUUAAGUCUACCCGUGAAAUGCCGGAGCUCAACUCCGUGCACGCCGGGGGAUACUGGGAGGCUGGAGACAGGUAGAGGCAAGCGGAAUUCCUGGUGUAGAGGUGAAAUUCGUAGAUAUCAGGAGGAAUACCUGUGGCGAAAGCGGCUUCCUGGUCCGAUACUGACACUCAUGGACGAAAGCGUGGGGAGCAAACAGG